Molecule: non-coding RNA, 1029 nt
Organism: Paralichthys olivaceus (Japanese flounder)
Lineage: Eukaryota; Metazoa; Chordata; Actinopteri; Pleuronectiformes; Paralichthyidae
Source: RefSeq, a predicted model, not a curated record
CUGAGACAGAAUCAGAUGAAGAUCCUUACAACUUUGCACUUUCUGUGUAGGUUGGUUUUUUUGUUUCGUGCUAGUCUGAUCAACUAUCAGAGAGAUAGAGAGACGAUUAAGAUGGCGAGCCCGGCCCAGCGAUUCUGUGAGAGAGACAAUUAAGAUGGCGAGCCCAGCCCAGCGAUUCUGAGAGAGAGAGAGUUGGAGAUGUGGUGUGGCCAGCCACAGAACCUACCUUGAGACUCCAGAUCAUCUGAAUCACACAUUCUGAGAACAGAUAAGACACACACACUCUUCACCUACCYGGGUAGUAGAGAUUUAGGAUGAAAUACUUGAAUGGACAUUGAUACAGAACAUCCACACAAUUGGAUCCCUUUUUCAGAACUGAACAUUCUUGAGUUGGAGAGCUCAACUUCAAUGGACUCUGAUUUUGUGUUUUUUUUAUUUUUGUGGCGCCUUAUUUGGUAAAUAAAAGUACAGCUAAGCUGUCAAUGUUAUUAUUGUUGUGCAUUGAUAUUAAAGUGUCACCUGUUCAAAUUAAACCACACCCACUCCUUUUUGUGAGUAAACUCCUGGUGCAACUCCUACCGGACCUAGAGCGAUGUGAUGUCUCUUUAACCUAAAAGUCAGGACCAAAGGUGCUACAUAUAUAUAUAUUUUUUAGAAGGGGCUAACCGUCUAGAAGGGGUUAGAAAUCUGCCUGUAUCCAGCCUGCUSUUAAUCGACAGCGCAGGAGCCACUCCAGACAGUCAGAUCACACCGAGCACUACCCCUGCAAAAAGUCGUCCUCGGACUAACCGUUUGCGGUUAAGACGUCGCCAUCGGGAAAUCUACACAGAAGCCCCCAUCCUAGGACAUUUGAGAGAACUGCUCAGAGAAUCUGGCGACGGUAUAAGUCAAGAACCGGAACCUUCUGUCUCUUCUCUCGAGAGGUCUGUGACAGAGUCACCUAGAGCGAAAAAACCCUGUGUCUGUCAACAAGCUGUGGAGCAAAGGAGUUGUGGGGUACAAACCACAGAACCAGAGCCAGAAGCACAG